RNAcentral lists this ribosomal RNA (253 nucleotides) under uncultured bacterium. Its description in RNAcentral is "partial 16S ribosomal RNA". It matches the Rfam family "Bacterial small subunit ribosomal RNA", at positions 524 to 776 of the family's 1533-position model. The record is from RNAcentral.
UACGUAGGGUGCGAGCGUUAAUCGGAAUUACUGGGCGUAAAGCGUGCGCAGGCGGUUUUGCAAGCCGGAUGUGAAAUCCCCGGGCUUAACCUGGGAAUGGCAUUUGGGACUGCAAGGCUGGAGUGCGGCAGAGGAGACUGGAAUUCCUGGUGUAGCAGUGAAAUGCGUAGAUAUCAGGAGGAACACCGGUGGCGAAGGCGGGUCUCUGGGCCGAUAUUGACGCUGAGGAGCGAAAGCGUGGGGAGCGAACAGG